This is an RNA transcript of Glycine soja, 909 nucleotides long. It is a transcript of the gene named proline-rich protein 3-like, with no coding region annotated. The record is from RefSeq and is a predicted model, not a curated record. NCBI's taxonomy places the organism in Eukaryota, Viridiplantae, Streptophyta, Magnoliopsida, Fabales, Fabaceae. The transcript has 2 exons.
GGUGAAUUGGGUACCUCAUCACUACUUUGAAGCAUUUCUUUGUACUCCUUCACAAAACCAUUAUAAAUGGCUUUCCUUCGAUCUACCUUGGCAACCUCAAUGGUUCUUUUAGCAAUGCUAUCCAUUGCCUCCGCAACUGACUAUUAUGGAUAUGGUCCAACACCAAAGCUUGAGAACCCCAAACCCAAAACAGAUCACAAAUUUGACGACAAACCACACCCUACAGAACCAGAUUAUUAUGCAGUGCCCAAAUCAAAAGGAAACGAUGAACUACAUCUGCUUCCCACAAUCAUUGGUGUCCAAGGAGUUGUUUUAUGUAAAUCAGGCUCCAAUUAUUCCCCAAUUCAAGGAGCCGUGGCACGAGUUACAUGUGGAUGUGAGGAUGAGCAGGGGUACGAGACAGGUCCUACAUCAGUGUUGAGUCAUGUGACAGAUAGUAAAGGUUAUUUCUUGGCCACAUUGUCAUUUGGAUCUAAAUUGAAGAUCACUGAGUGCAAGGCAUACUUGGAGACUUCUCCAUUGGAAACAUGUAAAGUUCCCACCGAUGUCAACUACGGGAUCAGUGGUGCUCGCCUCUCUUCUUAUCGCCUCCUUCAAAAUAACAUCAAAUUGUACUCUGUGGGGCCUUUCUUCUGCACCUCCCAACCACUCCCUAACGGUUAUUAAUGAAGAGCACCUUCUCUAUGGCGUUCGUUGAAAUGGCUGCAAAGUGAAAAUGAUGAUUUUAUUCUAUUUCUAUUUGUUGUGUUUUUUUUUUCUUCUGAUAUUGUUUUGUCAAGUGUUGAUUUCAUAUGUAAUUCAUUGGCACGAAGAAUUGAUUAAGCCUCCUUGCCCUUUAAGAGAUUUAAGUUUUAAUAUGUUGUUAUGAUAUUGGUACCUAAACCAAAAUAAGGUUCUCUGUCUUGUUUA